UUUUCCUACGGGGGGCAGCAGUGAGGAAUAUUGGUCAAUGGGCUUACACCUGAACCAGCCAAGUCGCGUGAGGGAAGACUGCCCUAUGGGUUGUAAACCUCUUUUGUCAGGGAGCAAUUGGCGCUACGUGUAGCGUUAUCGAGAGUACCUGAAGAAAAAGCAUCGGCCAACUCCGUGCCAGCAGCCGCGGUAAUACGGAGGAUGCGAGCGUUAUCCGGAUUUAUUGGGUUUAAAAGGGGCGUAGGCGGAAUGCCAAGUCAGC
Molecule: ribosomal RNA, 262 nt
Filed under: uncultured bacterium
Lineage: Bacteria
Description: partial 16S ribosomal RNA
Rfam family: Bacterial small subunit ribosomal RNA
Source: RNAcentral